UACGAAGGGGGCUAGCGUUGCUCGGAUUGACUGGGCGUAAAGGGCGCGUAGGCGGCUUGUACAGUCAGACGUGAAAUUCCUGGGCUCAACCUGGGGGCUGCGUUUGAUACGUGCGGGCUUGAGUUCGGAAGAGGGUCGUGGAAUUCCCAGUGUAGAGGUGAAAUUCGUAGAUAUUGGGAAGAACACCGGUGGCGAAGGCGGCGACCUGGUCCGAUACUGACGCUGAGGCGCGAAAGCGUGGGGAGCAAACAGG
RNAcentral lists this ribosomal RNA (253 nucleotides) under uncultured bacterium. RNAcentral's name for it is "partial 16S ribosomal RNA". It matches the Rfam family "Bacterial small subunit ribosomal RNA", at positions 524 to 776 of the family's 1533-position model. The record is from RNAcentral.